GGCUGAGCAAGGUGCAGGAGUGCGCCGUGUCCUGGGGGCCGCCGCAGCCCGGCGGGGCGCCCGACCCCGACCUGCUGCGGGGCGGCGCCGAGCUCGGCGAGUUCCCCUACCUGGGGGGCCGCCUGCUGCUGGGGGAGCUCGGCGGGCCCGGCCCGGUGCUGCUCUCCGGCAAGCCCCCUAGCCCCGGGGACGUGCUGCUGGAGGUGAACGGCACCCCCGUGAGCGGCCUCACCCACCGCGACACCCUGGCCGUCAUCCGCCACUUCAGGGAGCCCGUGCGCCUCAAGACCGUGCGCCCAGGAAAAGUGAUCAACAAAGACUUGCGUCACUACCUGAGCCUGCAGUUCCAGAAAGGCUCAAUAGACCAUAAACUCCAACAGGUGAUCAGAGACAAUCUUUACCUGAGAACCAUCCCAUGCACUACAAGGGCUCCCAGGGAUGGGGAGGUCCCAGGGGUGGACUAUAAUUUCAUUCCUGUUGAACAGUUUAAAGCAUUGGAAGAAAGUGGAGCCUUGCUAGAAAGUGGAACAUAUGAUGGUAAUUUCUAUGGUACACCAAAGCCUCCAGCAGAGCCCAGUCCCUUUCAGCCAGACGCAGUGGAUCAAGUUCUUUUUGACAAUGAUUUUGAUGCAGAAUCCCAGAGAAAAAGAACCACGUCUGUCAGCAAGAUGCAAAGAAUGGAUAGCUCUCUCCCUGAGGAGGAGGAAGAGGAAGAAAAGGAAGCAGUUAAUGGCAGUGGAGGUGCAGAAAACCGAGAGAGACAUUCAGAUUCUUCUGACUGGAUGAAGCCUGUUCCUAGUUACAACCAGACAAGCAGCUCCAUGGAUUUCAGAAAUUACUUGUCAAGGGAUGAGAGCCUAGAGCCUCUACCCAAGAACUGGGAGAUGGCCUACACAGACACAGGCAUGGUAUACUUCAUAGAUCACAACACCAAGACAACCACUUGGCUUGAUCCUCGGCUCUGUAAGAAAGCCAAAGCUCCUGAAGACUGUGAGGAUGGAGAACUUCCUUAUGGCUGGGAGAAAAUAGAAGACCCUCAAUAUGGAACAUACUACGUCGAUCACAUUAACCAGAAAACCCAGUUUGAAAAUCCAGUGUUGGAAGCCAAGAGAAAAAAACAGCUAGGACAGACUGAUGUUGGCCCUUCAAAACCAGAACCAGAGAAGUCACUCUUCACCAGAGAUCCAGCCCAACUUACAGGAGUCCUUAUACGGACAUCAUUGAAGAAAAGCACUAUGGGAUUUGGUUUCACAAUCAUUGGUGGAGACAGACCUGAUGAGUUCCUCCAGGUGAAGAAUGUGCUGAAAGAUGGACCUGCUGCGCAGGAUGGGAAAAUUGCGCCAGGUGACGUCAUUGUAGACAUAAAUGGCAGCUGUGUCCUUGGCCAUACCCAUGCAGAUGUUGUUCAGAUGUUUCAGCUAGUUCCUGUCAACCAGUAUGUGAAUAUGACUUUGUGUCGUGGUUACCCGCUUCCUGAUGACAACGAAGAUCCUGCUGUAGACAUCGUUACAGCUACACCCAUCAUCAAUGGCCAGCCAAUGACCAAGGGAGAUAUCUGCAUAACCAGCCAAGAUUUAAUACCUGGAACAGUCAUUUUAGACCAAAAUGGGAAACCGGGUCACAUUUUGGUUAAUGGUCGCCUGAACAGCCCUUCCAUGGACCCAAAUGAACAGAGGAUCUCCGUAUCCUCUCCAGGAGGCUCCCAGCCAGAACUAAUCACUAUUCCUCUGGUCAAGGGCCCUAAAGGAUUUGGGUUUGCAAUCGCAGACAGCCCUACAGGGCAGAAAGUGAAGAUGAUUUUAGACAGCCAGUGGUGCCACGGCCUUCAGAAGGGAGACGUAAUCCAAGAGAUUUACCAUCAGAACGUACAAAACUUGACACAUCUGCAGGUGGUGGAGGUGCUGAAGCAGUUUCCAGUGGGAGCCGAGGUCCCGCUGCUUAUCUUAAGGGGAGGUCCCCCCUCACCUGCUAAAACUGCCAAAGUGAAGCUAGAUAAGCAGGAGAAUUCAGGAAGCUUAGAGGCUAUCAGUGAUUCCAUUCCACAGCCUAUGCCAUUCCCACCUGCUGCUGUGAGGUCAGGUUCUCCAAAACUAGACCCUUCAGAAGUCUAUCUGAAGUCUAAGACAAUAUUUGAAGACAAGCCUCCAAACACAAAGGAUUUGGAUGUUUUCCUGCGAAAACAGGAGUCGGGGUUUGGCUUCCGCGUGCUCGGAGGGGAUGGACCAGACCAGUCAAUAUAUAUUGGGGCCAUCAUCCCACUGGGAGCAGCAGAGAAAGAUGGCCGACUCCGAGCUGCUGAUGAGCUGAUGUGCAUUGACGGAAUCUCUGUCAAAGGGAAAUCACACAAACAGGUCCUGGACUUGAUGACCGGUGCUGCGCGGAAUGGCCAGGUGCUGCUCACUGUCCGGAGGAAGAUCUUCUUUGGCGUCGAGAAACAGCCAGACGAGGAGGAGUCGCAGCUGCCCAUUUCCACUCAAAAUGGAUCUCCCCGGCUGAACCGGGUAGAGGUCACAAGCAGACAGCCCCCAGAAGCCUAUGAUGUCCUGCUACAGCGGAAAGAGAAUGAAGGAUUUGGCUUUGUCAUCCUCACCUCAAAAAACAAACCUCCUCCUGGCGUGAUUCCCCACAAGAUCGGGCGUGUUAUUGAAGGGAGCCCAGCCGAUCAAUGUGGGAAGCUGAAAGUGGGAGACCGUAUCUCAGCUGUGAAUGGGCAGUCAAUCAUAGAGCUGUCCCAUGACAGUAUAGUGCAGCUGAUUAAAGAUGCAGGCCACGUGGUCACCCUGACUGUCGUUGCUGAGGAAGAGCACCGUGGCCCCCCUUCAGGAACCAACUCUGCCAAACAAAGUCCAGCCCCACAGCACAGACCUAUGGGAACAACACAAGCCAACUCUGCAACAGCAGACAGGGGAGUCACAGAAGAUGAAGCUGGAAGAGAACUUUCCAACAGUUACAGGCUUCCCUGGCCUGAGCACAAGCACUUGCCCCAGCCCGAUGGCGGUGUUCUCUCCGUUGUAGGCAGCCGUCAUUCUCAGAGUCUUGGCUGUUCUCCAGUAGAACUGGAACGAGGCCCUCGGGGUUUUGGAUUCAGUCUUCGCGGAGGAAAGGAGUACAACAUGGGCUUAUUCAUCCUUCGACUUGCUGAGGAUGGGCCUGCCAUCAAGGAUGGAAGAAUUCACGUUGGUGACCAGAUUGUUGAAAUCAAUGGCGAACCUACCCAAGGUAUCACUCAUACACGAGCCAUUGAGCUGAUUCAAGCAGGAGGAAAUAAAGUUGUUCUUCUUCUGAGACCAGGGACUGGCUUGAUACCAGAUCAUGGUGAUCAAGAUAGUUUUAAUCCAUCAUCCUCAAAUAUAAUAUAUGAUGAACAGUCACCAUUACCCCCCUCUGCAGUAUGUGAUUUACCAGUACUGGAAGAAGCUUUAGCAAAUGUUCACAUAUCUGAGAAACUGGAAGAAUCUAAGAACAUUGUGCCUGAAAAGAAAAGCACUUUAACUGAAAACCACUCUGAGCUGAAGCAUCUGUCUUCUACCCAGAAGCAUAUGAAGAGAUGGGACCAGCCUACCAGUUUAGGGUAUAAGCGGUCAAAAAAUUUAGAAUUAGUAACUGAUGACCUCAUUAGGAGAGACAGAUCUGAGAGUCCAAAAAGAUUGGGCACAUCUGGGGAAUCGCAGCAAGCGGGGCUCCACAGUCCAAGGAAAGGUGAGAGACAAAACACACACAGCAAUCUCUCAGACCAGUCUGAGCAUCCCAGGAGAGGUAAUACACACUCAGAAAUCAAUUUAAAAGAAACUUCCAGAGGAAGCCAAGGCAGAUCUGUCAGUCCCCAAAAGCAUCCCAAAAAGGAAGAAAGUGGGGACAAAUCAGACAAGUUACUAGAGACUCAAGAUAAAAUAGCUGGUGGUGGUGAUAUUGAGAUUAUUGAGCAGUUCAAAGAUGGAAAUGAAAAAUCAGGAAUAACACAGCAAGACACAAAGCAGAACAUUGCUAGAAAGAAUAAGAAGUGGUCUCAAGAGAGAGAAAACCCAAAAGCAGAUGAAAAGACUCUUCCAUUAAAUAAGGCCAAUGAGCCUAGGAGAAAAGUAGAUGAAGAUGAAAAAGGAAAGAAAGCCAGUGCUGGAGAGCCAAGUUCUAGCAACUUCAAAACUACAAGUCUUUCUGAUGUUUCACAGCUUUCCAAGGAAAAAAAAAGUAGGCUCGAAACACAAGAUCCAGUUAUUCUGAACAAAGACCACUCAGAAAAAGACUUGGAGCCAACUGAUGAAACCAAAGAUGAUGGAAUUUCAAAAACUGAAUGCAGCUCUCCAGUCAAGAAAGCACCAAUAACUCCUGGACCUUGGAAGGUACCAAGUGCAAGUAAAGUCACAAAAGCAACAGGUGUCACUGAAAAACGGGUCUGACUGACAAACAUUUUUAGAACAUGUUUUAAUCAGGUUUCUAAUACGGUCAAUUAAAUGCAUCUUUUUUCCACAAAGUUGUCAUUUUUCAGAAACUAACUCCAGAGGCUGGACAGUACAUUUGAUUUGUUCUUAAAAUUAACUAAGCUGCAUGAAGGACCUUUCGGAUUGCUUAUAAGCAACUCUCUUCCAUAAGCUGCUGUCCCCUCAUCCUUUUGAAGGCAGUGUCCUGCUGCUCUCUCAACAUUGCACUGCUAAGGCUUUCUCAGAUAGUAUUGUGAGUUUCUGAACAAACUUUCUUAAUGCCUGUAUUGCCAAUGUGAUCAUGACUCACUUCUUGUUCUUGUGCCAAGUUAUGUACUGUAGCCAAUCAAUUUCAUCCUCCUUGUACGUUCUUCCCAGACACAGCAAAGCCAAGAUUUUGUUUGAAAAUAGCUAUUUUCUCAAAGGCAUGUCGCAUGUUUAUAUAGGGGAAUAACUCGAGUUCUCACAACUUCAAUAAGAAGGUGAGUGUGCUGGUUCUAUUAACUUUAGGGCAGCAAAUGAGCCACUGAUGCUGCCCCACUGGCUUCUUUUCUUAAAAGUUCCUAAUACCUAAUGUGACAUUACUUAAAAAGAGAAUUGCAUUUUGUUCGGAUCUAUGGGGUUAGUUUUGCUUUCUGUUAGCAAAACAAAAUGUUUUAAUUUGCUUAAUUCGUUUAAGGUAAUUCUAGUAACUAUCUGCAAAACACAAAUUGCAAACAUAAUUUUGAAGACUAAGUGGUGAAAUCCUGGCCCUGUUAAGUUACUGGCAAAAACAUCCAUUGACUUCAAUGGGGCCAUGAUUUUACCUUGUCAGUUCUUUAGAAAUAAGGAAUGGACUUGGUACUAUGCUUUCAACCUCCGUCUGGUACUGUUUGUCAAAGCACCACAUACUAUAUGUUUCAAAAACACUUGGAAAUGUCCCAUCUUUACUUGUAAAACUAACAAUUGAUAGGUAAAAGCAGUAUUUGAAACAGCAAAUCCUGCUGUUGCAAACACAGACAGAACCAACCACAGCUUCUUUAAAAAGUCCCUCUGACCUGUGCCUACUAUUAGAAGUCUCCUGUGUUUUAUUUGUGUGUAAUUGCUUUUGGUUGAGUGAGAAAUAGAUGACAUACAGGGUACAUGAGACUUAAUAUCUAUUGUUUGGGCUUUAAUAUGUAUUUAAAUGUUGAGGAAUGUUAACAAGAUAUUUUUAUAGCAGUCUGCAGAAAUUUCAUGGAUUGAUUUACUCAAUAGCAUUCUUAAUGGAUUUGAUUUCCUGACCUGUGCUAGGUUUUCAAUGACUGAAAAUAAACAGUAAAAGGAGCUGGGCCAGUUCACAAAAGCAGAGGAAAAAGGUUCCGGGACUAGCUGCUCGAAGAAGCCGUCAUUUAAGAUGUCAAGAAACUAUCUCUGCAUCCCAUCCUGAGGAAUGUCCAUCUGCUAAAUCGUGUCCAUCCUCAGAGGAAACAGAUUAGGCCAUGGCGCUUUUAUUCAUUUUGACCUGGCAAAGUCAACUUCUAGCAAUGUGUUUGCACAAGUUACAACUACAGAAUUUACUUCUUGUGUUAUUUUAGAGGGUACAAGUUACAUCAAAAGAAAAAUAUUUCAUAGGCUUCUCAUCUAUUGCAAGUGGUUAAACAGACCUGUUGGAAAACAUCGUCUUUCAGGUCCCGUUUACUUCCUUUUACAUUCCCUUCCUCGCUGUCACUGGUGUAGGAAGAACGGCACUCUGGUCCAUGAAGCAGAUCAUCCCAGAGCAUGUCCUCUGUCUCAGAGUCAUGGCGGGUGCUUUCAGAGUCUCUCCGAGACACACUGCAGCUCUGGGACCCACCACUAAAACAAGACCUUGAUUCCUUUAAAGAAAAAGGAAGUUUACAAACGUAACUUCUCCAUACUGAGCCUUCAACAACAAAAAUCAUUUUUUAAUCUUCAAGUAAUAUGUUCACAACCACAUGGUCAAGCCAAGCCAACCUGAAGCCACUAUGACAAGCUAGAACAGAAAGGACAUUUCUACAGAGGGAUGCUUUUGCGACAUGAACUCACAGCAACAAGCUAUUAAUGUUUUCCCACCUUCAGAAUAACUUACACUAAUUUCAUGAAAACUCUGAAGGCCAGGAAAAUGGAACCAGAACUUAGAAUACAUUUUAAUAGCUUCGUCCUCAUUGUGGGACGGAGUUUAGUGAGAAUUUCUACAGCUGGAAAGGAGACUUACUACUUUAUUUCUAUGAAAAAUAGAAUUUUUAGAAUGCCUGAUGUUUACUCCAAUACAAUGUUAUCCUCCCAACAGCCAAGUUUCUAAUGAAGAGUGAUUAGAGGCCUCUGAGCGUGCUGCUGCUACCAAUAGAAUUUCAUAAAUUGAAUGUUAAGUUCAAAAUUCAAAGCACUGAAAAGGUACAAAAAUUAUGGAGUUUAAAUGGUCAGUUACAAAGCUCUUAAAAAAAAAAAACAACUCUUACCUGGAGGAGACAAUCUUCAUCUAAAUUCUUCCCUGCUUUACAACCUGGAAAGACUAUAAUCCCAAAUACACAGUUGAGGGCCGUGGAGUCUGCCUGGUUUAACCUGUCUCCCUUGGUACUGCAACAACCACUAUGCCUUUCAGACUAUGCAGGCAGUAAACAAUGGGGUCAAAUGAAAGCAUUUUGCAUUGGAAACAAAUCUCAUACACUUCUCUUGUGCUGUAAUCUAUUAUGAUCCACAAGCAGGGAGUAUCAUGUCAUAUGAAUGCUCACAGAAUUUCAUUUUUUGCAGAUCUGACCGUAAGACAGGGCUGUAUAAAAGUAUCAACAGGGGAAUGACCAGUGGGAAACCAAGACAGCAUUGAGUGUGACAGCCCAGGAUUCCAAGACUGCUUAAAGCUCUGGAAGGAAGACUGAUCGACAGCUUCGCUCCUCUGGAAGUGUGAGCAAUAAGAGUAAAGUCUGAGUGGAACAGAGAACCUUCUCAGAAGCUAGUCUGAGACUGUGAAACUAACUCCUCAAGGAGCUAAGGACUAUCACAAACCUCACCACUUUCUGUUCCAAGUGCAACACACAGCAACAGGUAUAUUUAACAAAACACACCCUAUCAAAAUAAGACAUCGUUGCACACACUUAUCCCUCUGGGCAGAGGAUGAGAGAACAAGUGACAUCUGGGUAGUCACGUGCUCAAUGCACUACUGCAAGGCAUUCAGAUACUACAGUGAUGAGCAUCGUAUAAAAACCUGAAUAGAACAGAUGUACCACUCUGCCCACCUUAAAUGAUGCAAAGGUCUCUGGUAUUUUAGAACCCCUACCUGACUAAAGGCUGUUGAGUCUAGUUCAGAUUCUUCCACACUAUCGGACUCUCUGGUACCUUUAAUGGCUUGAUUGACCUGCCAUAAAUAAAAAGGAAAAGUUAGUUGAGAGCCAAUAACAGUAAACUUCAUGGAAUCUUAAGGUAAACCAACAGAACUACCUGUGAAACUGACUGGUUUGAAGUAGUAAGAGGUCUCCUAUUCUUGUCUUCGUAGCUAUUGUCACUGGAGGCCCCUUCUACACUUCUGCGUAACAAAAUCCUCUGUGCCAUGGCUUCAGCAUCCUCUUCACUUGACAGCUCAUCAGAAAUGCCACCCAUAUGUGUGCCGCCCUCCUGGAAGAAAAGCAACCAUCUAAACAAACUAGAAGAUGGGGCUAAUAAAACUAAGCAGAUCUGCAUCAAGCAGAAGUAUCUGGCCAGUAUUACCAUUGCAAUGUUGUGGUUACCAACAGUGUGAAUUCCAGACUAAUACAGUAGCCAAUAAAAGGGAAAUUACUUCUACAAGUACAAGCAGAACGAGGAGUUAAAAGAAUCAAACAAGUUCUACAACUAAUGGGCCAGCCCUGUCAUUGCAGCAGUGGAAAGGGGGGGAGAAACAUCCAACCUCUCCAGCAGCUAAAACAGAAAAGGAGGUAAUUCAACUCCUGAUCUCCUCCCCCUUCAUUUCCACAGCCUGAUGCCUCAAAGGCCAGCAACAUCCACAAGUCUUUGUGUGACCCUGGGCAUGUCAUGAAAGCUGUGGCCCAACAACCAAGUCUAUUCCCUCCCUGAAUGCCUUCUUCAUGUAUUAGAGACUUUGGGAGCACUGCUAUUCUUGUCUAAGUAACUCUCACCAAUCCCAAAGUCUUCAUUUUAGUGCUUGCACAGAUAAAACUUUGGUUUUUAAGGUCACAUACAAAAAUUCCAUCAGGUGAACCUGAAUUAUCUCCCAACAGAAGGACACACUAAUUGUUUGCAGGGCAGAUGUUUUACAUAGUAGAAUUUUGAAUUCUGUUUGUUUUUAAAUCAACCAACCUUUGAAUUGAAGACCAUCCAAAUAAACAAGCAUUUCAGUAUAAA
Chrysemys picta bellii (western painted turtle) is the source of this 8732-nucleotide non-coding RNA. NCBI's taxonomy places the organism in Eukaryota, Metazoa, Chordata, Testudines, Emydidae. The record is from RefSeq and is a predicted model, not a curated record.